AGUGGGUCUGCCGAGUAAUGACGCGGUAUUCAGACACCCCGUCUCGCGCCUUUUUUCCCUGUGCGCAUUCUGCUAAAUCUUUUGAGCCAUGAACCUGCGGGCUGCGAAUAGCUACCUAUACAUGUCCUCGGGCGGCACUAUCUCGCCGGCACUGCGCUGAAAAUGAUUAAACAUCUUUUCGGCGCUGACCCAGGGUCGCCGACUCAGUCGGAAUUGUAACCCUAGUUUUCAGCAUAACCAUAACCUCGGAGACGCAUACCUCUAGGGCUCAUCCCCUAGCCCGCGAGCCUUGGCUCGCGUGGGGGCGCACAACAUCUUAGUUGUCGACCUUGGCUUUCGUUUCCAAAUUUUUGUCGCCUGUUCCGGGCGCUUUGAUCAGAUUGGUUCAGACAGGGUUGGGGUUCAGACAGGCGCUCAGCGCCGAGCUUUGGGUUCGAAGUUCCAUGGCGGCUCGCGGGCGGCUGGUCGCAUGAGUUCUUCGGUGUUGUGUUGUCAGUGGUUUCUGUGUUUGCAGGUAGUGGGUAGCCCUCGUGGUCGCCCUUGGCCCGGCGCAACGGCUGGCGCAUCGGUGCCUCGCCUGUGUGCGCCUCGGCGUCUUGCCUCGUGGCGCCCAGUCAGCCGUCGUCUCUGUCUGCGGUCUUCCUGGCUCUGCAGAUUUUAGCCCUGGGGGUUUUAGCUCGCAGCAUACGGUUCACGGACCGGUAGGCGCGUGGUGACCGCAGUCGGGUAGUCCCGGGUUUGGGGUGUGUGUGCACGGGCGGCUGUUGCCCGGGCGCCCAGGCGACUGUUGGCUCUUCUCGUCUCCGAGUGCCGCUGGGGCUUGUGUGGAGGGUCGGCCUGGGUCGUUGGUUGGACGGUUGGCGGGUGGUGCGCCCUUUGAGAGGGGCUGUGGUGUGCUGUGGCGUGGUGGUGUUUCGGCUUGGCUUCCGGUUCCAGUUGUGCCUCGGCACAGACUAUCAGACAUGGGCCUUCGGGCCAAGACAUUGCGCGUCUCUGACGCCAGCCAUCGUCUUCGGACGUGAUAUUUGUGUGGUGCUUGCGUUUGAUGGGGCUGUCGGCAGACCACUGGCCUGUCGUGCCUUGUUUUGCGUUGGUGCUGCCGCCAAAAGACCUAAAAGAGAUGAGGGGUGUUACGUGGCGGUGGGGCUUUGGCGGGCUUCGGCUUGGCUUCGACUCAUGCGCGUACCGCUAUGAAGGUCGGCAGUCAACCAGGGGGUGGGUGUUUCUCUCUGGGCCGGAGACGGUCCCUCGCGGCGUGGGUACGGUGUGCCCCCGCUUGUCGGACUGUCCCUUCAAUUGUAAUUCGCAUCCAUAACCAUAAAAAACACAAACUACUAGCCUCUAGGGCUCAUCCCCUAGCCCGCGAGCCUUGGCUCGCGUGGGGGCGCACAACAUCUUAGUUGUCGACCUUGGCUUUCGUUUCCAAAUUUUUGUCGCCUGUUCCGGGCGCUUUGAUCAGAUUGGUUCAGACAGGGUUGGGGUUCAGACAGGCGCUCAGCGCCGAGCUUUGGGUUCGAAGUUCCAUGGCGGCUCGCGGGCGGCUGGUCGCAUGAGUUCUUCGGUGUUGUGUUGUCAGUGGUUUCUGUCUUUGCAGGUAGUGGGUAGCCCUCGUGGUCGCCCUUGGCCCGGCGCAACGGCUGGCGCAUCGAUGCCUCGCCUGUGUGCGCCUCGGCGUCUUGCCUCGUGGCGCCCAGUCAGCCGUCGUCUCUGUCUGCGGUCUUCCUGGCUCUGCAGAUUUUAGCCCUGGGGGUUUUCGCUCGCAGCAUACGGUUCACGGACCGGUAGGCGCGUGGUGACCGCAGUCGGGUAGUCCCGGGUUUGGGGUGUGUGUGCACGGGCGGCUGUUGCCCGGGCGCCCGGGCGACUGUUGGCUCUUCUCGUCUCCGAGUGCCGCUGGGGCUUGUGUGGAGGGUCGGCCUGGGUCGUUGGUUGGACGGAUGGUGGGUGGUGCGCCCUUUGAGAGGGGCUGUGGUGUGCUGUGGCUUGGUGGUGUUUCGGCUUCGCUUCCGGUUCCAGUUGUGCCUCGGCACAGACUAUCAGACAUGGGCCUUCGGGCCAAGACAUUGCGCGUCUCUGACGCCAGCCAUCGUCUUCGGACGUGAUAUUUGUGUGGUGCUUGCGUUUGAUGGGGCUGUCGGCAGACCACUGGCCUGUCGUGCCUUGUUUUGCGUUGGUGCUGCCGCCAAAAGACCUAAAAGUGAUGAGGGGUGUUACGUGGCGGUGGGGCUUUGGCGGGCUUCGGCUUGGCUUCGACUCAUGCGCGUACCGCUAUGAAGGUCGGCAGUCAACCAGGGGGUGGGUGUUUCUCUCUGGGCCGGAGACGGUCCCUCGCGGCGUGGGUACGGUGUGCCCCCGCUUGUCGGACUGUCCCUUCAAUUGUAAUUCGCAUCCAUAACCGCUGAAAAUUGCAUCCAUAGGGCAACCAUAAAGCCGGGGUCCGUACGGACCCCGGUGCAAGACGUCUGUGGGGGUGUCCCUCCAAGGAGGGAGGGGGAGGGGGGU
Molecule: long non-coding RNA, 2502 nt
Filed under: Chlamydomonas reinhardtii
Lineage: Eukaryota; Viridiplantae; Chlorophyta; Chlorophyceae; Chlamydomonadales; Chlamydomonadaceae
Description: long non-coding RNA (CREI_LNC000842)
Source: RNAcentral